GUGCAUUUCUGACGGACCUGGAACAGUUAAUAGCUACUGCUAAGGUUUCCACUAUAGAUGCAAGAAAAAGAAGGUCCUUGCGCUUUCUCUCUGCUUAGUUGUGGCAGCCAUGAUAGAAUGGAAUGGGGGAAUACAGAA
RNAcentral lists this small nucleolar RNA (138 nucleotides) under Dasypus novemcinctus (nine-banded armadillo). RNAcentral describes it as "Small nucleolar RNA SNORA31 (ENSDNOG00000042674.1)". The record is from RNAcentral. Lineage: Eukaryota; Metazoa; Chordata; Mammalia; Cingulata; Dasypodidae.